RNAcentral lists this ribosomal RNA (252 nucleotides) under uncultured bacterium. RNAcentral describes it as "partial 16S ribosomal RNA". It matches the Rfam family "Bacterial small subunit ribosomal RNA", at positions 524 to 776 of the family's 1533-position model. The record is from RNAcentral.
UACGUAGGGACCAAGCGUUGUUCGGAUUUACUGGGCGUAAAGGGCGCGUAGGCGGCGUGGUAAGUCACUUGUGAAAUCUCUGAGCUUAACUCAGAACGGCCAAGUGAUACUGCUGUGCUAGAGUGCAGAAGGGGCAAUCGGAAUUCUUGGUGUAGCGGUGAAAUGCGUAGAUAUCAAGAGGAACACCUGAGGUGAAGACGGGUUGCUGGGCUGACACUGACGUGAGGCGCGAAAGCCAGGGGAGCAAACGGG